This 1037-nucleotide long non-coding RNA is filed under the name Scleropages formosus (Asian bonytongue). RNAcentral describes it as "lncRNA (ENSSFOG00015025510.1)". Lineage: Eukaryota; Metazoa; Chordata; Actinopteri; Osteoglossiformes; Osteoglossidae. The record is from RNAcentral.
CGCAUGCACACACUCGUGGGACAACACUGAGGGUUGUUACUCUGUGCAAAAGCACUUGUAAGGAACUCCUGCAAGUUUCCCCUCGUGGGUUCCACCCUCGUUCUGUCACAAUACAAGCUCAGCGCUGGCAUGUCACGACGGCCUGCGCGUGAGGAGGUGCGGGUGGGGAGACGGGGGGCGGAUACGUACGCGGACGGUGAUCCUCCGAAGCCGGCGAGGGUGGAGCUGCGGGACGAGCUGCAGUAAGGGGUGCAGCACAGACGACUGUCAGCGUGAACACAAGAAGAACCGUGAAGUCAAAGGUUUCCCGACACCACAGCGGCACCGGCGUGACAGGUGCACAGAAACACUCGCACAGCUGUAGCUACCCAUGUAAAUGUGAAGAAGUGUCGCCUGCUGCACGUCUGCUCGAGAAGCUCCCUCGCACCGUCACUGCGAGACCGUGGGCUUGUGUUCUGCUCGCAGCGCCACACGCUGCGCAGGACAUGACUGUAUGGAAGAGGGUCCCGAACAGCAACAGAACACAUGGCUCAUUGCGCAGCCCCUCUGCCUCUUUUUCUGCCUUUCCCGGCUAAAGGCGCAGGUGUGUAACGACCGUCUGAAAAGAGCAGCACCUGAGGACCCCCGGCAGCUCCGCUCCCGGUGUCCCCCCCGCGUGUCCCCGCAGACCCUGAGGGCCCGAAGCAAAUACACGCUCCGCCGCCCGCAAAAAUCCAAAGAGGGCCUCGUGACGGAGCAGAGCAAUUACAGACGAGUUCCAUGAAGCCAUUGGCCAGAGACAGAGCAGACGAGAAACAGAGCUAAGUAUCGUCGUCAUAACAGUGAAGGCUAAUAUUAAUUGUUGAGCAACGUCCCAGAAUGGCAGCACAUAAAGUGAGAACAGUAAGGGACCCAACACUAAGCCAUGGGGAACACCAUCAUUGACCUUACACGCUCUUUGACCCCACGCAUCACACAAAAUUCACUAAUACUACAGUACAGUAUAUUCAAGUGCAAUAAUAGGAAAUAAAGCAUAAUUACAAGGAAUGUGAAAACCA